UGGUGUGUAAGUUAAGGUUUAAACUAUGGGGUUCAUGUCCCCACAAUAUGUUCAUUCAUCACACUGA
RNAcentral lists this transfer RNA (67 nucleotides) under Rhinebothrium sp. 1. RNAcentral describes it as "tRNA-Met". The record is from RNAcentral. Lineage: Eukaryota; Metazoa; Platyhelminthes; Cestoda; Rhinebothriidea; Rhinebothriidae.